This 396-nucleotide ribosomal RNA is filed under the name Arthritica semen. RNAcentral's name for it is "partial 16S ribosomal RNA". It matches the Rfam family "Bacterial large subunit ribosomal RNA", at positions 1862 to 2560 of the family's 2925-position model. Lineage: Eukaryota; Metazoa; Mollusca; Bivalvia; Galeommatida; Lasaeidae. The record is from RNAcentral.
CCCGGUGAUAUUUUAACGGCCGCAGUUAAAAGCUGUGCUAAGGUAGCGUAGUCAGUUGUCCUUUAAUUGGGGAAAGGAAUGAAUGGUUUGACGUAAAGAGUUCUGUCUCUAGAGAAAUAAAAGAAGUUUUCGUCUUAGUGAAAAGUCUAAGAUAUAAUUAAAAGACGAGAAGACCCUUUCGAGCUUGAAUAAAAAAAAUUUAGAUUAAAUUAAGUAAAGUUUAGUUGGGGCAACUAAGGAGUAAAUUUAGACUCCUUUAAGGAAAUGAAGAGCCAAAAUUUUUGAGAAAAAGAAAAAGCUACCGUAGGGAUAACAGCGUUAUCUUUUCUGAGAGAACAAAUUGAAGAAAAGGUUUGCGACCUCGAUGUUGAAUUAGAAUUUCCAAUAGGCGUAGAC